GGGAUUGUCUAAAAAAAAAAUCUCUGGUCGACGGGAGCAGAGCGGCGGGGGCGGAGACGCCGCAUCUCCGGCGGGAGGAGGAGGGGGAGCAAAUGAUGGUGGCGCAACCUUCUUCCUCCUCCCGGCCUCACAUUUGGCAGCCAGUACGGGCUCAGGCGGCAGAUAUGGACGGGAGCAGGCCAAGACGCGCCGCCACGCCACGCCGACGGCUUAGCGGGCGAGGCCGUCCGUCCGUCCGGGUGGAGCGAGAGCUUCUCAAAGGAUAUUCCAAAUGAGUACCAAAUGACACGAGUCUACGGUGGAUCUCUCGACCUAUGGUGCUUAGGUCUCUCGAUUGGGUACAGAUACAAGCUAGGGUUUCAGCAAGAAAAGGGGAUCGGGAGAAGGAGCCGGGAGGUGGGAGAGAAGAUACACACCCAAAGACGGCCAUGUGCGCUUGUGGAACUUCACAUGCUUGUCCAUAUAAGUUAGUGCAUUGAUUCGUGCAGUGUUUGAGUCCACGACCAUGUCAAUUGCCGAUACAGAGCACUGCAUCGUGGGUGUCUGUCUACAUGGAUCUGUCCUUUGGCCAUCCAGUUGCGCUGUUUAUCAUAGCCCUAUAACUCUGCUGGUACCCUGCUGCGUGAUGAACCAGAAAUCGCUCCUAUCAUGAACCGAAUUGAGCAGUACAAUGGCCGUUUUGCUGGAGUUCCUCACAGUAUGAUUCAGUUAUCUCGACAUUCAUGUAUCGAGACUCCCGAGAACUUUGCCGAGAAGACCAACGUGGUGUGGGAGCCAUCCAAGGAUUUGAAGCACCUGAACUUGAAGUUGCUGGUGAUCUGGGGGUGCGAGGAUGAAGACAAGGUGACAAACUAUGUAAGGCUUGUCAUGGAACAAGCUGUGGGGCUGUUGAUAAUCAAGCUGCAGGGUGAAUUGCCAUGCAGGCACUGCAACGCCACCAACCUUGACAGAUCCAAGGCGGAGAAAGCUAGCCGGCACCGGAUUAAGGAGCGACUGGCGCAUGGAUCAUCCUCAUUUCUGGAGAUAAUUAUCUGAUAUGUCAAGGAAUGCUGGUAGUAUCAUAACGCUCACAGGCUUGCAGGAGCUAGAGCAAUGACUCUGCGAGGCACAUUCAGUAGUAAUUUUGAUUUCUAGUUAUUGAUAGCUUAAAAAUACUUGGUUGGUGUGGACCUUCCAGUCUAGCUAAAUUAUGUGUGUACUGUCAUCUGACCGCAUGCUUUUCUCUUUCAGUUUACGGAGUAAUUAAUUGCCUAUUUGUCCACCUAGCAUAUGCUGAUUUGUUUGCCCUGGGAUAUUCAAAUAUUUGACUUGUUUC
Triticum urartu is the source of this 1315-nucleotide non-coding RNA. The record is from RefSeq and is a predicted model, not a curated record. Lineage: Eukaryota; Viridiplantae; Streptophyta; Magnoliopsida; Poales; Poaceae.